AUUGAACGCUGGCGGCAGGCCUAACACAUGCAAGUCGAGCGCGAAAGCACUUCGGUGUGAGUAGAGCGGCGGACGGGUGAGUAACGCGUAGGAAUCUACCUAGUAGUGGGGGACAACUCGGGGAAACUCGAGCUAAUACCGCAUAAGCCCUACGGGGGAAAGCGGGGGACCUUCGGGCCUCGUGCUAUUAGAUGAGCCUGCGUUGGAUUAGCUAGUUGGUGGGGUAAAGGCCUACCAAGGCGACGAUCCAUAGCUGGUCUGAGAGGAUGAUCAGCCACACCGGGACUGAGACACGGCCCGGACUCCUACGGGAGGCAGCAGUGGGGAAUAUUGCGCAAUGGGCGAAAGCCUGACGCAGCCAUGCCGCGUGUGUGAAGAAGGCCUUCGGGUUGUAAAGCACUUUCAAUUGGGAGGAAAGGUUCACGGUUAAUAACCGUGAGCUGUGACGUUACCUUUAGAAGAAGCACCGGCUAACUCCGUGCCAGCAGCCGCGGUAAUACGGAGGGUGCGAGCGUUAAUCGGAAUUACUGGGCGUAAAGCGCGCGUAGGUGGUCUGUUAAGUCGGAUGUGAAAGCCCCGGGCUCAACCUGGGAACUGCAUUCGAUACUGGCAGACUAGAGUGCGAGAGAGGGAGGUAGAAUUCCAUGUGUAGCGGUGAAAUGCGUAGAUAUGUGGAGGAAUACCAGUGGCGAAGGCGGCCUCCUGGCUCGACACUGACACUGAG
Molecule: ribosomal RNA, 724 nt
Filed under: bacterium IMCC8835
Lineage: Bacteria
Description: bacterial SSU rRNA
Rfam family: Bacterial small subunit ribosomal RNA
Source: RNAcentral